Molecule: transfer RNA, 68 nt
Filed under: Acipenser dabryanus (Yangtze sturgeon)
Lineage: Eukaryota; Metazoa; Chordata; Actinopteri; Acipenseriformes; Acipenseridae
Also listed under: 1 other name
Description: tRNA-Phe
Rfam family: tRNA
About the family: Transfer RNA (tRNA) molecules are approximately 80 nucleotides in length. Their secondary structure includes four short double-helical elements and three loops (D, anti-codon, and T loops).
Source: RNAcentral
GCUAGCGUAGCUUAACUAAAGCAUAACACUGAAGAUGUUAAGAUGAGCCUUAGGCAGCUCCGCAGGCA